Molecule: long non-coding RNA, 2463 nt
Organism: Oncorhynchus tshawytscha (Chinook salmon)
Lineage: Eukaryota; Metazoa; Chordata; Actinopteri; Salmoniformes; Salmonidae
Source: Ensembl
CUUUCUGCAAUAUCUUACUUAUAUCCUGGCAUUAGAGAGAAAUAAUACAAAAGCCUUGUAUUGUAUGCUUACCGUUGCAAGUAUAUUCAUGUAAUAUGUCAAUGUCUUCUUUUAGCUAGAUCACCCUUACAGCCAUGGAGAGGGAGGGCACAGACAGAGUGAGGCAAGAGACAGAUUUUCCAGCAAUCCUCUGAGCACCACCAACAUUCUGGUUGACAAAACGAGCCCUUCCAGGUCACCACUAGCAAAACAACUUGAUGUUUCACAGCACACUGUAUGGCUAUAUCCUCAAGGCACACAAAGAACUACUAUCAAGUCUUAGCCGUGGCUACGGUCUACCCCCUCUGUUUUACAAAAUCAACCUUUCUGGCUCUCUUUAAAAUGGUCUUCAACUCAAGGAAGUGCCCUCUCUUCCUUGUUUGUUGUUCCAGAGGGAGGCAAGAGACAGGCUGUAGCAAUAUCCUCUGUGGUAGUGGCUAGACCAGUCUCUGUUUCAGUCCCUCCAAAAAUAGACUGCACAGAUUAGAAAUCCUAAAAGCGUCCUUUCCACCUUUCAGAAGUCAAAGAAACUGCUUUCUAAGCAUCCGUGUUAGCCUCUCCCUCCAGUCUUUUGUCAGUGCUUGCCCACCGAGCACUAACGACUUGCGGCCUAGCCCUGUGCUCCGACCGUGUGGGUGCUUCCCGUGGCUGAGGCAGGCGAGGGGGAAGGGAUGUGGCUUUCUCUCCUCAGAGUCCACAAAAUUGAAUUGAGAUUUAAAAAGAAGACUAGGCUCUUGACAGAUUGGCUUUUGUAAGGCACCACACAGACCGUCCUCUCUCUCUGUGUCUAUGGGUUUCUCCCUCCGUUUUCCUCAGCCUGUGUGUGUGUGUGAGCUAGCAGAGCAAGAGAGAGAGAGGGAGGGAGUGUGCAGGGAGGGGGAUGGGGGCAUGUGUGUGCUCAGGGAUUUGACACUGCUAUUCAAGCCCUGUGGUUGCCAUGGCACCAGCUGCCUUAUAUGGACAUUGAAGUCAAAGAGCAAAGAGUGGGCUGUGGGGCUUAUCACACACAGAGAAAAAGAAUGUGGAGGUUCGCUCUCCUCGGAGAGAGGCAUGACCCCAAGGCCUGACUCUAAGCACACGGCCAGAACUACCCCCGACCAUGGCAAACAACUCAAAGCCCUCCAGGAAAUACACAAGACAUGGUUCUGUCUCAGCUCCCAACACAUUGGGUGGGCUUUCUAUGGCAAAUUGUCAAGUUACUUGUUUAUUUACUCUGUUCCUACAGACAAGUUAUGCAAUAGACUACUUGAAAUUGUAACAUUUCACACCUGAAUCCCUCCUAUAAUGUCAAUAACAAAGCACAGAUUACUCUACAACCUUUGACCUCAGUAAUAUGAAGUAGGCCUACACAUGUUUUCUCGGAGUAAUGCAUUAACCCUGCAAAUCAUAGCCUGCACUUUGAUCUUAUCUCCUGGCCAAUGAAUAGACAGCUUAAGACCCACCUCAUUGUGCUAAAAGAAAACGCCACGUUUUGGUCAUCACCAUUUCACAAAGGUCCUCUAUCUUCUUUCUUUGUGGAGCACAUGGUGAUUCAUGUCCGAGGUUAACCCCAAAGGUCACGCAGACUUACUCACCCUUGCCUCGCUAAGCCCAGGGUCAUCCUAGAUCAGGGUUCCAAAACUGGAGCCCGUAAUUAUGUUCCAGGACCCCGACCAUUCACUCAAGAAACAAAUCGGCCUGCGUCUGAAUCUAGUAGAUGAGCCCUGUCCUAAACUGUUGGUCUUUGUGGGUCUGCCUCUCCAGGAUGGUCUAGUUGAUGAUGCCUGUCCUAAACUGUUAGUCUUUGUGGGUCUGCCUCUCCAGGAUGAGUCUUUGUGGGUCUGCCUCUCCAGGAUGGUCUAGUAGAUGAGCCCUGUCCUAAACUGUUAGUCUUUGUGGGUCUGCCUCUCCAGGAUGAGUCUUUGUGGGUCUGCCUCUCCAGGAUGGUCUAGUUGAUGAUGCCUGUCCUAAACUGUUAGUCUUUGUGGGUCUGCCUCUCCAGGAUGAGUCUUUGUGGGUCUGCCUCUCCAGGAUGGUCUAGUAGAUGAGCCCUGUCCUAAACUGUUAGUCUUUUUGGGUCUGCCUCUCCAGGAUGAGUCUUUGUGGGUCUGCCUCUCCAGGAUGGUCUAGUAGAUGAGCCCUGUCCUAAACUGUUAGUCUUUGUGGGUCUGCCUCUCCAGGAUGAGUCUUUGUGGGUCUGCCUCUCCAGGAUGGUCUAGUUGAUGAUGGUUGUCCUAAACUGUUAGUCUUUUUGGGUCUGCCUCUCCAGGAUGAGUCUUCGUGGGUCUGCCUCUCCAGGAUGGUCUAGUUGAUGAUGGUUGUCCUAAACUGUUAGUCUUUUUGGGUCUGCCUCUCCAGGAUGGUCUAGUUGAUGAUGGUUGUCCUAAACUGUUAAUCUUUGUGGGUCUGCCUCUCCAGGAUUUUCUAGUUGAUGAUGCCUGUCCU